This 57-nucleotide transfer RNA is filed under the name Ictidomys tridecemlineatus (thirteen-lined ground squirrel). Its description in RNAcentral is "Spermophilus tridecemlineatus (thirteen-lined ground squirrel) tRNA". It matches the Rfam family "tRNA", at positions 8 to 63 of the family's 71-position model. From Rfam's summary of the family: Transfer RNA (tRNA) molecules are approximately 80 nucleotides in length. The record is from Rfam by way of RNAcentral. Lineage: Eukaryota; Metazoa; Chordata; Mammalia; Rodentia; Sciuridae.
UGGCUCAGCAGUAGAGCACUCACCUAGCAUGUGAGAGGCCCUGGGUUCGAUCCUCAG